ACCCAAUAUUUUUUUACCACUAGUCUCAAUUUGUUAACGUGAAAUUUUUGCCCAUCCACUUGUUCUUCAUCUAAAGCCAUUUUGCGCAUUUCUUGGUACUUGCAUUCUAUGUAUCUUCUGGUAGUUAGAACGGUCAAGGCCGAAGAAAAAAACAUAACAAGUGAAAUAAAGAUAAAACCCGUUACUAUAAUUUCUUUGCAAACUAUUAGGAGAACACCAUCAAAAUACACUGUGAUAAGGUGGACAUAAACAUUGCCAAUGACUGUAAUUAUCAUAAUACCUAAAGCAGCUAGGUUUAGUACCAUCUCAUUAUCGUCCAUGGAUCCCAAAGAUGUCAUAAAACUUGCCAUUGCAGUUGACAUCAAAACGAGGCUACUAACCCAUGCAAGAAUGUCAAGAGGCCCCGCCAUACAACCAGUAAGAUCGACUGGUAGUUUCAAUGUGACAGCUAAUAGUGUCAAAGACAUGGCAUUGAAACAGAAGUACUUACAUAGGAACCACAACAUUUUACUACGAAAACCAUGGAAAGUGUCAGCAGCCAUUGAAAGGGAGUAGACUACAAAAGUUGCUGCAAUAUACAUGCCAAUCCAUGGCAUUGGGGAAUCCAAUUUGUUUUGCAAAACUUUCAUUACAUCUUGGUCGCAUACAUCCUUGCAUUCACUCUGAUUGUAAAUUCCCAUACCGCAUUGAAAUGAAUCCAUGAACUUGUCUCUGAAAUUCUUUUCUAUUUCUCUCCCAAGAGUUUCUCCUAUCCAUUCUAUGGAUUGCCAUCUUAUUGAAAUGUCAAGUUGAAAGACUUCCUUUCUAUGUGAUAUUGGCGUCUUCUGCUGCCCCCGGGGCAUAGCCCAGUGGUGCAAAGGACAGG
Molecule: long non-coding RNA, 865 nt
Filed under: Olea europaea subsp. europaea
Lineage: Eukaryota; Viridiplantae; Streptophyta; Magnoliopsida; Lamiales; Oleaceae
Source: RNAcentral